CUUUUCAAUAACAUAAUCCGAUAAUUAACGUCAGCGGGAUAUAUUAUUAGGUCUCAUUAUACAACUUUGCACGCGAAGAAGACGGUGUGUAAUACCUCCGGCAUGUCUGUGUGUAUGUAUUAAUUCACGCCUCACAGCGACUGCUCGACGAGUCUUUCCACCUUCUAAAAUGCGACGAAAAUAGGUUAACCGUCGCUUUCAACCAACCUUCGGACGAGCCGCAAAUUUUCCGUCCCCCUUAACAAACCGAACUCUGUUCCAAUCUUCGUCCAAAGAUCUCCCAACACCGGCUAAGCAGGCAAUCGCCGGAGAUUCAUCCCGGAUAUGAAAAGACGCUCGACAAGUAGUAACAGCGUUUCUCAGGCCAGACACGUCCAUGCAUACAUACGACUGGAUUCAAUGGGACGCGUAUGCAGAUGGAGAUUAUGGAAGAUGGAAAUUUAGUAGAUAGAGUUCGAAUAUUGCUCCAAAGAGACAUGAAGUACUAUCAGGAAAAGCAGAUGGUGUUGAGUGAACCUAUAUGCGUAGGGAUAAGUGGUGGAAAACUGGACUUUCCAAGACACGCUUCCUUUGCGUCAACUAAGAUUGUCGCAUGGUGGGAAGCAGAAUUUACUACAACAUUUAAAGAGUCAUCUGGACUCAGUUUUACAUCUAAAGAACACACGGAAGCAGCUGAUUGCACGGAAGUAGUCAAGCAUUCAGAGCCGUCCGAGUUUGUUGCCAUGAUAGUUGACACAUCGGAACAACUUUUAGAACACCUGCACACCUUGACUCAGGAAGCUUUAGAUCAUGCUGAUUUAACUGUCCUAACGGCUACGUUGGGGGCCGCAGCUCUAGUACGAAAUUGUUUAUGGAAUUACAACAAAAAAGUAAAAACAGUGGUUUCAGCACAGGCAUGCAGCAAACUACACAAAUGGUUCAAAUCGUAUCAAGAAAUGGCCGAAGCACUGGCUGAGAGACUACUCGAUCUACAUUGCCGACUAAUUUCAUUGUAUAUUUUAACUGAAGCCAAUUCCCUCGACUGGCAAUCCAAUCAGCCAUUCUUUGAAAAAGAACGCUGUUCUUAUGUGAUUCAAAUGUGGUGGCUGUAUAUGCAAGGUACACAUAAUACUCAGCAGAACGCCAGAGUCCUUGUGAUGACUUUCAGCAUAUCCAUUAUUUUAGGCACAAAAGAAGACUUGUGGAACACAGUUCCUCCAAAAAUGGCGCAGCGCGUUUUUUCAGGAAUGUUGGACGAGUCCCUGACUAUCCUUACCGUCCGCUUUGUUCACGGUCGUCCCAGUCUUGCUCGCUGUCAACAAUUUUGGGCAGAUGUUUUCAACGUUUUGUGUUGCACGGCAAACUUGUCGCUAGCCACAUUUGUCAAUGCAAAUGAACUGGUCGGGUUCAAUGUGACCAGAUUGUCAAUUAUUUCAAGAGAUAUACAUGCAAAGUGCGGAGAAUUGCUAGUUUCUCUGUUACUAAGAGGAACGCCAUUAAACAUACUAUAUCAGGUUCUCCGCAAUGGUUUAGAAAACUUGAACAUAUUGUUGCCACGUCGAGGGCCUGCCCCAUGGCUCAUCAUGAGUAGCCCACAUCUACUGCCACCUUCAUCGGAAAAUAUUGAUAAUUUAAAACAACUAGCUGAUGGCCCUUCGAUAGCGCUUGAGAUAAAAAUACUCAGAGCACAACCGCAGCCUGAUUGGGGUCAGUUGAUGAAGAUCUUACUGAUGCGGGAACAUAAAAUAUCAGCGCUUCUAUUUCAAGAAUUUGUCAAACAGAGCAAUGGCUAUAAAUCUGAUGACAGUUUUACUAGAAAAGAAAAGAGCAAAGUUGAUGCAAAAGAACAGGAGGGUUGCGGAGGUUUUUUGUGCUCAGGACAAACCUGCUCUCGCCCUGCUUGUAGUCCAGCUUUGUGGGCUUACAGCCUUACCUAUAUCUCAAUAAUUGCAGACAUGGAUGCGAUGAUUGUUAUUAUUCCAGCACUGCUACAAGAUUCUGACUGGUCCAACUGCUUAGACAGACAUCAGGUUUGGAAUCAAAUCAGACCGCCAUGGCUACACGCUCUUAUUACACCUCUGUAUCCCAUCAUGGUACCCAUUAUCACAACUCUGCUGGACGCAAUCAAGACAGGAGCUAGUAUUUACCAAACAAUGUCACUGGCCCUCGCCUGCUUCAGCGAAUUGUACAUUUGCGCACCGGCAGGCUUACUGCGUACAGCUUCGAGGAUAAACAAUAAUAUUCCUGCGAACUGCCACCCCAUAGGUGGUUCAGUCCUUCUCCAAAUCAUGUGCGCUGCUCUGUACACUAAUUUCUCAAAAGUGAGAGCUGACCCCAGUACUAAUUCUACGGCAUCUACUUCGUCGAACGAACCUCAGUUGGUUGCUGGUCUUGAUCGUAAUGAUACUGUUUCCUUGGCGAUUGCUUUAGGUGAAGCUAUCUGCAGCAUCGAUGAAGAUGAUAAGCAUACACUGCAAAUAAAUUCACUUCUCAGUUCAAUCAACGAGAGGUAAAAUUAACUCACAUCUGUUCGAUAUCAGCAUCAAGCUGUUGAAUUAUCAAAUCAUAACACUGGCUAGAAUCUGAUGAUCUAAGAUGGCCCGGGAUAGAUCCUGAAGGUGAUACAUGAAUACGUGGUCCAUGGCUCUGAUUGGAUAUUAAAUUGUUUGGGAAUUGAAGAAACGUCGACAAUGACUGAGGCUCCAAAG
RNAcentral lists this unclassified non-coding RNA (2687 nucleotides) under Neodiprion pinetum (white pine sawfly). RNAcentral's name for it is "uncharacterized LOC124223211, transcript variant X3". Lineage: Eukaryota; Metazoa; Arthropoda; Insecta; Hymenoptera; Diprionidae. The record is from RNAcentral.